Molecule: ribosomal RNA, 60 nt
Filed under: candidate division CPR2 bacterium GWD2_39_7
Lineage: Bacteria; candidate division CPR2
Description: partial 16S ribosomal RNA
Rfam family: Bacterial small subunit ribosomal RNA (bases 1-51)
Source: RNAcentral
AAGUCGUAACAAGGUAUCCGUAGCGGAAGCUGCGGAUGGAUCACCUCCUUUCUAGGGAGA